This 253-nucleotide ribosomal RNA is filed under the name uncultured bacterium. Its description in RNAcentral is "partial 16S ribosomal RNA". It matches the Rfam family "Bacterial small subunit ribosomal RNA", at positions 524 to 776 of the family's 1533-position model. The record is from RNAcentral.
UACGUAGGGUGCGAGCGUUAAUCGGAAUUACUGGGCGUAAAGCGUGCGCAGGCGGUUUUGUAAGCCAGGUGUGAAAUCCCCGGGCUCAACCUUGGAAUGGCAGUGGAUACUGGCAAGCUAGAGUGCGGUAGAGGGUAGUGGAAUUCCCGGUGUAGCAGUGAAAUGCGUAGAGAUCGGGAGGAACACCAGUGGCGAAGGCGGCUACCUGGACCAGCACUGACACUGAAGCACGAAAGCGUGGGGAGCAAACAGG